UUUUGCCCAAAGUACCUUGAAGAUGUAUUGAUCUAAAGUUGGGUCGCAGAUUCAAGUCUUCUAAAUUGAGACAUAAAUGAUAGGUAAAAGAUGUCGUGUCGCGAUUUCAAUCAAGGUGCUUCUUGCGAGGCAACCCAGGGAAUUUUUCUUGAUGUUUUCUAAUUCUUUUGGUUUAAUUUUUAGCUUUUUUUCUGGGCGGUUAUAGGCUAUAGUACAUAUUGGAAUGGGUACCUCAAGAAUGAAAUUCUAGAUAAGUAUAUUGGACUUUCACUUUGUCACUUUCCUCUCUUA
Molecule: long non-coding RNA, 291 nt
Filed under: Capsicum annuum
Lineage: Eukaryota; Viridiplantae; Streptophyta; Magnoliopsida; Solanales; Solanaceae
Description: long non-coding RNA (CANN_LNC011265)
Source: RNAcentral